RNAcentral lists this ribosomal RNA (447 nucleotides) under uncultured bacterium. Its description in RNAcentral is "bacterial SSU rRNA". It matches the Rfam family "Bacterial small subunit ribosomal RNA", at positions 330 to 793 of the family's 1533-position model. The record is from RNAcentral.
CCCAGACUCCUACGGGAGGCAGCAGUGGGGAAUAUUGCACAAUGGGGGAAACCCUGAUGCAGCGACGCCGCGUGAGUGAAGAAGUAUUUCGGUAUGUAAAGCUCUAUCAGCAGGGAAGAAAAUGACGGUACCUGACUAAGAAGCCCCGGCUAACUACGUGCCAGCAGCCGCGGUAAUACGUAGGGGGCAAGCGUUAUCCGGAUUUACUGGGUGUAAAGGGAGCGUAGGUGGCAUGGUAAGCCAGAAGUGAAAACCCGGGGCUCAACCCCGCGGAUUGCUUUUGGAACUAUCAGGCUGGAGUGCUGGAGGGGUAAGCGGAAUUCCUAGUGUAGCGGUGAAAUGCGUAGAUAUUAGGAGGAACACCGGUGGCGAAGGCGGCUUACUGGACAGAAACUGACGUUGAGGCUCAAAAGCGUGGGGAGCAAACAGGAUUAGAUACCCGUGUAU